GAAACCGGAGCACCCGGAGUAAACCCACCCUGAACAGGUUGCCAGCCUAUCACAGGCUGACACAUAGAGACAGACAACUAUACAGUACAAUACAAUACAACUGUACAGACUGUGGAAGGAAACCGGAGCACCUGGAGUAAACCCACCCUGAACAGGUUGCCAGCCUAUCACAGGCUGACACAUAGAGACAGACAACUAUACAAUACAAUACAAUACAACUGUACAGACUGUGGGAGGAAAUGCUCACAUUUUCACCUAUGGUCAAUUUAAAGUCAACAAUUAACCUGCAUGUCUUUGGACUUUGGGAGGAAACCGGAGCACCCUGA
Long non-coding RNA from Sebastes umbrosus (honeycomb rockfish), 326 nucleotides. RefSeq lists it as uncharacterized. NCBI's taxonomy places the organism in Eukaryota, Metazoa, Chordata, Actinopteri, Perciformes, Sebastidae. The record is from RefSeq and is a predicted model, not a curated record. The transcript is spliced from 2 exons.